UACGUAUGGUGCAAGCGUUAUCCGGAUUUACUGGGUGUAAAGGGAGCGUAGGCGGCGCGUUAAGUCUGAUGUGAAAACCCGAGGCUCAACCACGGGAGUGCAUUGGAAACUGGCAUGCUAGAGUGCCGGAGGGGCAAGCGGAAUUCCUAGUGUAGCGGUGAAAUGCGUAGAUAUUAGGAGGAACACCGGUGGCGAAGGCGGCUUGCUGGACGGUAACUGACGUUGAGGCUCGAAAGCGUGGGGAGCAAACAGG
RNAcentral lists this ribosomal RNA (253 nucleotides) under uncultured Lachnospiraceae bacterium. RNAcentral's name for it is "partial 16S ribosomal RNA". It matches the Rfam family "Bacterial small subunit ribosomal RNA", at positions 524 to 776 of the family's 1533-position model. Lineage: Bacteria; Bacillati; Bacillota; Clostridia; Lachnospirales; Lachnospiraceae. The record is from RNAcentral.